UACGGGGGGAGCAAGCGUUGUUCGGAUUUACUGGGCGUAAAGGGCGCGUAGGCGGCCAGCACAAGUCAGUUGUGAAAUCUCCGAGCUUAACUCGGAACGGUCAACUGAUACUGUGCGGCUAGAGUGCGGAAGGGGCAACUGGAAUUCUUGGUGUAGCGGUGAAAUGCGUAGAUAUCAAGAGGAACACCUGCGGCGAAGGCGGGUUGCUGGGCCGACACUGACGCUGAGGCGCGAAAGCCAGGGGAGCGAACAGG
RNAcentral lists this ribosomal RNA (254 nucleotides) under uncultured bacterium. RNAcentral's name for it is "partial 16S ribosomal RNA". It matches the Rfam family "Bacterial small subunit ribosomal RNA", at positions 524 to 776 of the family's 1533-position model. The record is from RNAcentral.